GUCCCUAGCUGACCUAAAGGAAACGUAAGGAGAGUUGCUGACGGGACUGCUGGCCAAUCAGAUCGUGAAAAGUGACACCGGACUUUUUUGUUCACCAAUACGUUUGCGGAGCCGUUGUGACUGAUACAAAAUAAUGCAAUAGUGGCUCACGAGUCGCCAGCCACACCGAGCACCCCCUCCCCGACUCCCCCCAGUCUAGACAAUGACAGACAUGAACAGCAACGUUUUACCGAGAGGUUCACCGGGGGACACGCACACCGGCUGCCCUACAUAAAAUGCACCCAUUGUAGGCCGGAGUGUCAGCUGAGGACGACUUGCAACCUAGAAACGGCGCUCUGGCCCCUCCUUCUCUUUGUCGGGCGCAUUGUAAACGCCAGCCAGAGGUCUUCUGAAGUGUUCUUUUUUCCCCAGUGAAAACAGAUCGUAAAAUUGGCCUGGACCCCAGAACGCGCUUUUCUCCAUUUUCAUCAACCCCUGUCGAGACCCCUCGCGAUUCCUCACCAAAGGCCCAAUGACAUCAUCAGAGCCCUUUGUAUAGAGCUGCUAGGGGUUCGUUUCAUUUCAAGCAGUCCUGCUCUCGAUGCGUUCGAUUUAUAUCUUAUAGUUUAUAUUUAUUUUGAACAGAGUUAACGCGCCUUUCUUAAAGCGCGAACGCUACAUCUGGGAGAAACAACGCUCCGCAGGAGUGCACUUCGCAACUUACUUUUUGCAUUGUGUUAUGUAGCCUACAGCAACAUAAACUUUGUGAGAUGAUAUCAGAAAAACUGCUCAUGACCGAGAGUGCGGAGAGCACGCUGAAGUGUUCGGUGUUCGCGGACCCUUGCGCGCGCGCGCCUAACUAUAUGGAGACUCACGAUAUUCUUCAGAUCUUUCAGGUGAGAAGAAAAAAGCAAAGCUGCAGCUACUGAUAUGUAUUCUUACGAAGAAAAUGGUAGACAGUGAUGAAUUGCUUUGCACAAAAUGGCGAAGGACAUUUCAGAGCGCUAAUAGAAGUUCCCAAAAAAAGAGAAAGCGCAGCGUGUUGAUAUCUUAUUGUUCUGCUUUAUUUAAUACAGAGCUGCAUAUUGUUUUAUGAGUAGGCCUCUUACGAAAACAAGCAAACAAAAUAGAGCUCUGACUAACUAUCAAAGUCAUUUUAGCAGCAGAUAAGAAAUAUUUAGUUGCUUGAGACAUCCAGGACAGGACCGUUGUUGUGUUCUCGUGUGUGCUGUUUCUGGACAUCACAGAGAAACUGGUUUUUGAUAGACCACAUGAUUCACUUCACUUCAUGUUAGAACAGGGAUUUUAACUCUGAUUUAUUUUUUAUCUAUUAAGUGUGUUAUAUAGAUUAAUAUAUUUUAUAUAGAUUUGUUUCAGACAGAAUCAUGACUGAAUUGAGAGGUUUUACUGGUGACUACAUUUAAGAAGGAUUCGAGCUGAUCUUGUUAAAUAUAUUGCAUACUGUAGUCACUGUCAUUUAACUUGACCCUAUAAACAUAAUUAUUAUUAUUAUUUAUUUUUUAAUAGUUGUAAACCAUUCUAAUCACAACUGACUUUACACAAACUUUUGCAGGUACAAAUAAAGAUCAAAAUCCGUGAUGAGUUAAGCAACACUUUUGUGAAAUCAUAACGAAUUCUAAAGGGCUCUGCAACAAAUUGAAUCCAAGUUUAUGCUUUUAUUUAUAUAUUUCUUUAAAUGAGGUGUAUUGCUUGCUGCAGGUCAUUCCGUCACUCUGCAUUGUUGUUUCCAAGCAACUGUCUUCAGAUUUGUAUUUUUUUUUAAAUAUCUCCAAAUGUAUCAUAUUUUACCACAAUUUUUGGAAGACGCUAUUUGCAUUCUUUCUCAUCGCUGAAAUAUUAAUAAUGUAGUUCAUGAAUGUCUUUGACAUAAAUAUCUCAAUGAAAACACUCAAGUGGCAAGUUAAAGCUUUACAUGUAAAGAAAAAAAGUAUUUAACAAGAGGAAUUAGUGACAGGUUUUCUCUGGAUUUCAGAGACAACAGAAUGGAUGGAUUUGUACAGUACUUAUAAUUCUUAGAUUGUUAUUGUUUUAGGAAUUAACUGUGUUUUAUAAGAUAAAGCUACUUCUAGCUAGUAUUCUCCAAAAUAAAUAAAUAAACAUCUGGUGUUUCAAGACCGG
This is a long non-coding RNA of Cyprinus carpio carpio, 2118 nucleotides long. The record is from Ensembl. NCBI's taxonomy places the organism in Eukaryota, Metazoa, Chordata, Actinopteri, Cypriniformes, Cyprinidae.